Molecule: transfer RNA, 71 nt
Filed under: Heterocephalus glaber (naked mole-rat)
Lineage: Eukaryota; Metazoa; Chordata; Mammalia; Rodentia; Bathyergidae
Rfam family: tRNA
About the family: Transfer RNA (tRNA) molecules are approximately 80 nucleotides in length.
Source: Rfam by way of RNAcentral
GGGGGAGUAGCUCAGUGGUAGAGUGCUUUUCCAGCAUGUGUGAGGCCCUGGGUUUGAUCCCAGCACUACCA